This 228-nucleotide ribosomal RNA is filed under the name uncultured bacterium. Its description in RNAcentral is "partial 16S ribosomal RNA". It matches the Rfam family "Bacterial small subunit ribosomal RNA", at positions 568 to 795 of the family's 1533-position model. The record is from RNAcentral.
UGCGUAGGCGGAAUGAUCAGUCAGUGGUGAAAGUUUGUGGCUCAACCAUAAAAUUGCCUUUGAUACUGUCAUUCUUGAGUACAUUUGAGGUGGGCGGAAUGUGUUGUGUAGCGGUGAAAUGCAUAGAUAUAACACAGAACACCAAUUGCGAAGGCAGCUCACUAAACUGUAACUGACGCUGAGGCACGAAAGCGUGGGUAUCGAACAGGAUUAGAUACCCUGGUAGUC